GGAUGGUCUUGAAGGACUGGAUUGGUCUCUUCCCAUCUUGAUGAUCACGUGACAUCACAGGAGCAGGUCCUGGGCAUUCCUGAGGAUGACACAUGGGAGACAGUUGUUGGGCAGCUGAGCUGUUCGGAGUCUGUUCCCUUAUCCAUUAGUUACCAUCUUCAUCAAGGUCAAGCAGGACCCAUCGGGUCACUGGAGCCACCACUGUGGAGGGGCUUCAGUCCCAGCACUGAAAGUCUUUGGCCUUAGGAGUGUGACUGCUCUGGAGUCUUGGGAAUGGUCUAACUGGGGAGCUUCCUUAACAGAGACCACAAAACCUACAGAGGAGGUGAAAUGUCUCACCAGAAUUAAUGCUCUGUUUUCCAUCCCUUUUGCUGUUUUCUAGAGAAGCUCUGUCUCCUCCUGUAUGUGGAGAUGAAGGAGACUUUUUGGAUGCACUGUCUGUUGGAAAGCUGUGAUACUUGUGGUGGAUUGGUUUGCUGUGUCCUUGGAGCACAUCCAGAAUUAAACAUGGAGCUGCAAUUGGGGGCUUGCUGUCCUGAAGAAUUUGUGCUGACAUGUGUCCUGUUUUUAGGACAGUCCAAUGGGCUAUAAGGUUUUUCCUCCAAGCCCUAAACACGACAUCAGCCCAUCAUUUUCACUCUGUGGUCACGUGGACCUGUUUGAAUGAGGACUAAAACUCCUCAGCUUUAGAUCGUGGGAAUCACACACAAUGAUUGGAAGGGACUAGAAGGCAUCACUGAGCCCCCACCACUUCCAAAAAGAAAAAAAGAAGUGGAAUUUAGUGGCCAGGAGACUCUGGGCUCCUGUUAGGUUGUGCCAGCUGCUCCUGUGUUAGUGCUGGUGCCCCCAGUGAGCACAACCACUCAGGC
RNAcentral lists this long non-coding RNA (869 nucleotides) under Cyanistes caeruleus (blue tit). RNAcentral describes it as "lncRNA (ENSCCEG00000004010.1)". Lineage: Eukaryota; Metazoa; Chordata; Aves; Passeriformes; Paridae. The record is from RNAcentral.